Molecule: long non-coding RNA, 711 nt
Filed under: Equus caballus (horse)
Lineage: Eukaryota; Metazoa; Chordata; Mammalia; Perissodactyla; Equidae
Description: lncRNA (ENSECAG00000043965.1)
Source: RNAcentral
GAGAAAACAGUAGGAGGAAAGAGCAGAGAGGAAGAGAGAGAGGCGGCGGCGGCUGCUGCGGUUUCUUGAGAGGAAAAAGUGAGAAGCUGAGGCUACUACAUCCAAGAACUCAGAAGUGUUAGUUAUCUGCCUGCUGAUGUGCUCAUGUGGACAAAGACAAGAGGAUCAAACUAUACUGUUAGAUGUUCAGCACAUUUGAAUCACUAAAGCUACUUGUGCCUGCCAUGAUAUGCCGUCUAUGAAGUGAUGCUGCUUAUGUAGUAAUGUCUCUCACUCCAACAGAGACCCCUCUCAUGGAGGAGCAACAAGCCAAGGGGCUCCGCAGGAAUGAUUCCAGCUCUCAGUGAUGCAAUCUGUCUGGGAACGAGAGGAAGACCAUCUGUUGACCCUCAGAAUCAACGUGCUUUCCUGAACCUCUUUCCCUGUAGUUAGUGCCCCUGCUCUGUUUUCUGCAUACCUUGCCAAGCCCCCCAAUUUCUAGGGUCUAGAAAGCCUCCACUUUAUGGAGUAUGAGAUUCUCCAUCAUUCCCCUGGGGCCUAGGCUUGUUCCUGCUCAGCCCCCACUGGACAAUGGCUUUCUGGAGGAGAGGCCGAGGAUGGGACUUGGGACUUAUCUAGAAUACAGUCCUCUAAAUUCAGGCUGAAGGGGGACCCCCAAGAUGUCCUUCCUUCCCAGGUCAAACUUGAACUCAAUUAAAAUGGUGUGUAUGA